Non-coding RNA from Araneus ventricosus, 92 nucleotides. The record is from the annotation of a GenBank genome assembly. NCBI's taxonomy places the organism in Eukaryota, Metazoa, Arthropoda, Arachnida, Araneae, Araneidae.
UGGCAAUACCAUACUGAAAGCACCGGUUGUCAACAGAUCACCGCAGUUAAGCAGCAUCGGGUGCUGUCAGUACUUGGGAGGGUGACCACGUG